This 433-nucleotide ribosomal RNA is filed under the name uncultured bacterium. RNAcentral's name for it is "partial 16S ribosomal RNA". It matches the Rfam family "Bacterial small subunit ribosomal RNA", at positions 29 to 507 of the family's 1533-position model. The record is from RNAcentral.
AACGAACGCUGGCGGCAUGCCUAACACAUGCAAGUCGAACGAGACCUUCGGGUCUAGUGGCGCACGGGUGCGUAACGCGUGGGAACCUGCCCUUAGGUUCGGAAUAACUCAGAGAAAUUUGAGCUAAUACCGGAUAAUGUCUUCGGACCAAAGAUUUAUCGCCUUUGGAUGGGCCCGCGUAGGAUUAGCUUGUUGGUGGGGUAAUGGCCUACCAAGGCGACGAUCCUUAGCUGGUCUGUGAGGAUGAUCAGCCGCACUGGGACUGAGACACGGCCCAGACUCCUACGGGAGGCAGCAGUGGGGAAUAUUGGACAAUGGGCGAAAGCCUGAUCCAGCAAUGCCGCGUGAGUGAUGAAGGCCUUAGGGUUGUAAAGCUCUUUUGCCAGGGAUGAUAAUGACAGUACCUGGAGAAUAAGCUCCGGCUAACUCCGUG